Eriocheir sinensis (Chinese mitten crab) is the source of this 1533-nucleotide long non-coding RNA. RefSeq lists it as uncharacterized. The transcript is spliced from 7 exons. The record is from RefSeq and is a predicted model, not a curated record. Lineage: Eukaryota; Metazoa; Arthropoda; Malacostraca; Decapoda; Varunidae.
CACGAUUUGAAUUCGCGAAAAGUAAACAAAACACGUGCGAGAUUAUAAUUUACAAGUGUGCGAUAAAGUGAUAUACUACUACUACUACUACUACUACUGCUGCUGCUGCUACUACUACUACUACUACUAUUACUACUACUACUACUAUUACUACUACUACUACUAAGGGAAGAGGAGCGGGCGGCUGUAACUCACGAGGAAAGGAUGGAACCAAGAGGAGGAGGAGAGAGAUAUACUGAAGUGUUAAAGGAGAGAAGAGGUAGAGAAAAGGAGAAGUAGUGAAUAAGCAGUAAAGAGAAGGAAAUAGAAGUAAAGUAGUAACGAAGAAAUGGAGAAUGAGAGAAAUGAUAAACGAGGAACCAAGAGGAGUAGGCGAGAGAUAUACUGAAGUGUUAAAGGAGAGAAGAGGUAGAGAAAAGGAGAAGUAGUGAAGAAUCAGUAAAGAGAAGGAAAUAGAAGUAAAGUAGUCACGAAGAAAUGGAGAAUGAGAGAAAUGAUAAACGAGGAACCAAGAGGCGUAGGCGAGAGAUAUACUGAAGUGUUAAAGGAGAGAAGAGGUAGAGAAAAGGAGAAGUAGUGAAGAAUCAGUAAAGAGAAGGAAAUAGAAGUAAAGUAGUCACGAAGAAAUGGAGAAUGAGAGAAAUGAUAAACGAGGAACCAAGGGAGGAGGAAAAUUAUGUAGGCAAGUAGUAAAAAAAGUGAAGAAAUGGGGAAGUGAAGAAGUGGUACACAGGAGGAAAGUGAAAACGUACAGCAGUAAAUAGAAGAAAUAGAGAAGAAGAGAAACCAUAAAAAAGUGCCGAGAGCAGGAAAAUGGAUAAGUAGUUAGAAGCAUUAAGAGGAGGAAAGAGGAAAAAGUAAAGCAUUAAAGAAGAGAAAAAGUAGAAAAGUAAAGUAGGUAAGAAGCGAUAAAGUGGACGAAAAAGUAAAGUAGUAAAGAAGAGAGGAAAUAGAAAAGUAAAGUAGUUAGAAGCAUUAAGAGGAGGAAAGAGGAAAAAGUAAAGCAUUAAAGAAGAGAAAAAGUAGAAAAGUAAAGUAGUUAAGAAUCAGUAAAGUGGAGGAAAGAGAAGUAGUAAAGUUCUUAAGUAGUAAAGUGGACGUAAAGAAGACAACAAUCAAACACCUGCUUCUCCGGUUAAUAAUCUGCCAAGAAAGGAAGAAAAAAUAUUAAGAAGAAAAAAUAUUAAGAAGAAAAAAACAUCAGAGGACAAGGAAAGGAAAUGAAGGUGAGUGAUUUACCUGCAUCCUCGCCUUACCUUCCUGCCGGUGAUGCUGUGGGCUUGUGGGAACGGCAAAGAGGCUUACCAGGAGUGCUGUGCGCCAGGUCCGCGUCCCUCGUCGGCCCUCGCAGGUGAAGAGCGACUCACCUGCGAGCAAUACACACCUGGCGGGGGAUGAACGGCUCACCUGGGACGCCGCGGGGCAAUCAACACACAGACAGAACGAGAAGAAAAAAGAAAAAAGAAGGAAAAGGAGUUGACGUAAAUAUCCCAACAACAACAACAACAACAACAACAACAACAACAACAACAG